UGGGGAAUAUUGGGCAAUGGGCGCAAGCCUGACCCAGCAACGCCGCGUGAAGGAAGAAGGCUUUCGGGUUGUAAACUUCUUUUGUCAGGGAACAGUAGAAGAGGGUACCUGACGAAUAAGCCACGGCUAACUACGUGCCAGCAGCCGCGGUAAUACGUAGGUGGCAAGCGUUGUCCGGAUUUACUGGGUGUAAAGGGCGUGCAGCCGGGCUGGUAAGUCAGAUGUGAAAUCUGGAGGCUCAACCUCCAAACUGCAUUUGAAACUGCUGGUCUUGAGUACCGGAGAGGUUAUCGGAAUUCCUUGUGUAGCGGUGAAAUGCGUAGAUAUAAGGAAGAACACCAGUGGCGAAGGCGGAUAACUGGACGGCAACUGACGGUGAGGCGCGAAAGCGUGGGGAGCAAACA
Molecule: ribosomal RNA, 404 nt
Filed under: uncultured bacterium
Lineage: Bacteria
Description: bacterial SSU rRNA
Rfam family: Bacterial small subunit ribosomal RNA
Source: RNAcentral